AACAUUGUUGGAUUAACACUUUGUUCUGUGUUCUUGGAACUAGAUUUGAAACAGAACCAGAGUUCUGUGAAAUGCAUGAAUUUAUUGUUUGAUUAUGUGAAGCUCAAGAUACUCAUUUCCUUUAGCAAAUAGCCAUCACAAAAGCAGCCUUGAGUAAGCAAUUAAUUUAGAUUCCCUGUACCAAGCAAAUCAGUGUGUAUAUGUGUGUGUGUGUUUAAUGCAUGAAUUUAUUGUUUGAUUAUGAAUACCAAGCUGAGGUUAAAGGAUACUCAUUUUCUUUAGCAAGCAACCAUCACACAAGCAGCCUUGAGUAAGCAAUUAUUUUAGGGCCCCUGUACCAAACAAAUCUCUGUGUGUGGGGGUAUGUCUACACAUGCGCAUUUAAUGCACAUUAGCCUGAUUUAAGGCUUAUUAAGGGUGCAUGUCUACAUGCGCGCACCCUUAAUGCAUCUUAAAAAUAGUGAUGUAAGGCUAUAUGAGCCUAAAUUUGAUACAUGCAUAAAAUAGGUAUCAAAUUUAUGUGUGAAUAGUUACAUUGUAUUAGCAAACAUGUAGAUGCACUAAAGUGCAUUAACAUGGUUUGACCAUUGACUUGGGGCUGACUUUAGUCCCAAAUUGGUCUGCACACCUGCGUUAAUGCACAUUAGUGCAUGCAUGUGUGGAUGCGUGCCUAAAUUGAUUUAAUGCGCGUUAAGUUUAGGCGUGCAUAAAAGUACAUGUGGAGAUGCUCUGUGUGUAAUAAAACUACAGACCGCCUCACCAGGGGGAUGAGCUGGACCUGGAAUUCUCAGGAGGCUGUAAAGUCAAGGGAUGUGGUUGUCAUGGGUGACCUAAACUACUCAGACAUCUGCUGGGAGGAGCAGACAGCCAGGUCUGACUGCUCACGUAGGUUCCUAGCCAGGAUGCAGGACCUCCACCUAAGCCAGGAGGUGCAUAGUCCCACCAGGGGAAAUACCUUGCUGCACUUGGUCCUUGCCACAGGCGAUGACCUGGUGAGGGGUCUGCGGGUACUCGACCACCUGGGUGACAGUGAUCAUUGCCUGCUGGAAUUUACUAUUCAGCGCAGGAUGAUGAAAGCAAGCAGUAAGGCAAAAGUCCUUGACUUCAGGAGGGCUGACUUCAAUGAGUUAAGAAGAUUAGUAGGAAAGGCAUUGGGGUCUCAGAGCUUCAACGAGAUGGGAGUCCAAGACAGGUGGUUGUUCCUCAAGGAGACUAUCCUCCAAGCUCAAAGGAAGUCAGUCCCAAUGUACACUAAUGGGAGCAGGAGUGCUAAAAAGCCCCUCUGGCUCAGCAAAAGCAUCCAGGAAUGCCUGAGGGCAAAAAAAGGAGGUGUACAAAUAGUGGAAACAAAGGGCUGUCAGCAAAGAGGAUUAUACCUCCGUUGCUCGUGACUGCAAGGAGGCUGUUAGGAAGGCCAAGGCAGAGAUGGAGCUAGGGCUAGCAACCAGAAUUAGGGAUAACAAAAAGUCCUUUUUCAAAUGCACAGGGGGUAAGAAGAAAGCACCAGGGAAUGUGGGACCGGACAGGCUUGGCAAUCUGGUGAUUGCAGCAAAUGAAAAAGCUGACCUCUUUAACAAAUUCUUUGCCUCCAUAUUUCUGAACACAAACUGGGACAUUUCCCUCACUAGGAUUGCAGAUGGAUCCAGGGGAGGCACCACCAUGCCUAGGGUCAGGGAUGACCUAGUUAGGAAAUUGUUGGAGGGGUUGGAUGUGUUUAAAUCAGUAGGUCCAGAUGCUCUUCACCCGAGGGUGCUGAGGGAAUUGGUGGGGGUCAUAGUGAGGCUCCUGGCACAGCUUUACGAGCACUCGUGGGGCUCUGGCCAGGUACCAGAGGAUUGGAAAAGGGCCAAUGUGGUCCCCAUUUACAAGAAGGGGAGAAAGGAGGACCUGGGUGACUAUAGGCCAGUCAGUCUCACCUCGGUCCUUGGGAAGACCUUUGAGAAAAUUAUCAAGGAGCACAUCAGCAAAGGCCCAGCAGGGGAGGUAAUGCUCAGGGGCAACCAACAUGGGUUCAUUGAGGGCAGAUCCUGCCUGACUAACCUGGUUUCCUUUUAUGAUCAGGUCACAAAGUCCCUGGACGAGGGCGUUGAGGUGGAUGUCAUCUUCCUGGACUUUAAGAAGGCCUUUGACACUGUUUCCCACCACAUUCUCUCAAAAAACCUAGGUAGAGUCCAGGUGUGGCAGGGCAUGGAGUCUUCAGGUCAAUGGGGAGAGACACGUGUAUAAGGACCAGGGGUUAAAGACUUGCUCUGGGACAAGGUAACCCCAUGCUACACCUGCAAGACAUAUUAGGUUUUGAGGAAGAAGCACAGUUCUGUGGGUAGUGGACCAGGAACAGAGAAGUCUUUGAUUUUCAGAUGUUGAGAUGAUCUGGUAAGUCCCCUGCUGAUGGCUGCCUUUUUGAUCCUUUUCCUGAAGCAAAGGAAGACCCUGAUACUGAAUGAAGGCUUUGUGGCUAUUCAGAUUCUGGACACGGACAGAGAAUACAACCCAGAAAGGACUUUUAGAAGAAAGAGGGUCUUAUCCAUGCCUUAUGUGAGUUCAUUCAUAUUUUAUGUUUUUGACCACUGAUGCUCCUUGAAGGAAGGGUUGGCCUUCCAUGGACUUGGCCACAGAGCUGUGACCUUACAACCUGUAUUUUUAAUGGCUUAGAUGUUGAAGACCAGAGAGUGAGUAACUUCAGGGCCUUUUGACAACUGUAGGGGAUGAUGCGGGAGACCAACUCUGUGACACUUGCCUGUUUAGUUGAUAAUUUUUUUCAGACAGGGGUUAUUUCUCAGCCCCAGAACCACACAGGAAUGAGUCCAGGACUGGGGCUGUCAGGCAGCUGUUUGGUGGUCUCAGCCCCAGGACCACACUGAGAUGCUUACAGAGAUUCCCUGGGGGCACAUCUCAGCAAGGGAGAUCACGUUGCUCCACGGAAUCAAUGGGCAAGACAACAGGUAACUUGAGUUUCUCCCCAGGAAGCAGAUUAGCUCUGCCCCACUGAAACUGCUAACCCUGCUUUCCAAGGGACGUCCUUCUAAACAUGGAUCAAGGUGGAAGCAUUUUCCCUCAGACCUCCUGCUUGUUGCGCUUUCUCGAGUGAACAGUUGAGUCAAUGAAGUCUCUAAAUCCUGUUCCACGGGAGCAAAGGAAAUACUUGCAUGCUUAUGAACUCUUUUUAAGUCAGGGCUUUGGUGAAGGUCCUACUCACCCAAUUGGUGUUCCUAACACUAUAGAGGAAUAAAUGUAGUUCUCCCUGUGAGCUAUGUGCCAUGAGGCGCCUUUCACCCUUGGGUCUCAAUUAAAAAGCCAACUCUAAUACCUGGUAGUAUCAGUCCCCUUGCUUGAAAUUAGAGCUGGUUGAUACACAUGUACAUUCUUUUUCCCAGCAAGUGUUUCUUCUAAAUUUUGUGGCAGUUUUUUUUGUUGAAGAAAGCAUUGUCAUUUUUCAUGGUAGUUCUCCAACCACCUAGGAGCUGAAGGGACAGUGGGGGAGGGCAGGCAGGGAGUGACUAGUCAUGUGGCAGAAAACUUGUCACUUUGUCUGACCUCAUUUAACUGGAAUGAAGUGUGACAGCAGUUUCUGUCGAUGUGUUUAGUUCUUUCCCACCUUUGCAGCAUGGCUGUUUGGGUGCUAGUUUGUUCCAGUUGUCUGUUGGUGCAUCUGAUGUUCAGAAAAAUUCUUGACACAUGGUGUCUUUUAGACACGGUGAUAAGAUAACUGAGCUCACUGCAUGUUGUGUCUUGAGCCCAUACUUUGUCAUCCUAUACGAUACUUUAGACAUCAUAUAAUUCUUCACCUUUAUGAGUCUUCAUAUUUUACUCAGUGGUUUCAUUCCUUUUGUCUUAGAAUGUGACAGGGAAUUAAAAGGCUCCCAAUUAACACGUGAACUUUUUUAUACCUCUCCCUUAUUUUCAGUAAACUUUCCUUUCCUAACUGCAUGUGGCAUUUGAUAACCUUUACUUUAUUUUCUGCAACUAAUUAUUUUAGGUUAUGCUGUCUACAGUUUAGUUCAGCCUAUUAUGAAGCUUAUUCUGCUAGCUCUACUACAGAACAUAUGGUCUCUGCAUCUUCAUCUGUAUUGCUUCUUGCCCCCUUAUUUAUAUCUUGUUUCUUUACUCUCUGGAGGAUGGGAAAAAAACCCAAGUUGUUCCCCACACUGCCAUACUAGCUUGUCGUAACCACAAUCCUACUCCAGUAAAAGUCAAUGAAUGUUUUGCCACAGACUCCAGCGUGGUCAGGAUUGGCCCUCUGUUUUAAAAGUCUAGAUCUUCACUUUGGCACAGCCCUGCAUCUUCAAACAAGGACAACACAACACAAAUGCAAAAACACAGGCAAAGGGGAUCAGUAUAUUUGCCAUGGCUUUUCUACAGUCUAAUCUCCUCCAUUGGAUGCCUUAUUUCUUUAAUUGCUCUCCUUCAGGAAUGGUCUUUCUGUUUUCACUCCUGUCUCAGAGUUCAUAAUUUCUAAUGAUAAAAGUUCAGCUGAAAAUCUUCCAAGUUCAGCCAUAGGAAGGCUCCUAUAGUAAAUGGGUCACUGGAACAAGAUACAGGCGGCAUGAGUUCAUGUCAACUCAAAUGAAAGUCUCCAGUGUAAUUUUGAGUAAGCUACUUACAGCCAAAUCAAGAUGAGAGGCAAAAUGUGUGUGCCUACCUUCGAGGGUGUGAUCCUGAAAACCAUAGUCAACCCUGGCUAGCCUUUGGAAGUACCUGACAUCUAUUGGUGCCUUUAAUUUUUUACCUUACUUUUCCAGAAGUUUGACUUCUGUACCUGUGCAGAAACACCUUACCCACUUGGCCCCCUACUUCAUUCCUAAACCCAACUGGGAUUUACAAGUACCUUACAGACUAAGUUUGGUAGGUACUUGAUCCUGGUACAGAGCCUGGGGUCAGCAGAUGGCUGCACCCUGCCUUCUAGUUGGGUAGUCGGGAGGUGGGUUUAAUUCCAUCCGUAAGUCAGAUCAUACAUCAUACACUACCAAGCGUCCACAGAGGGUGUAACCACUAGGGAAUAUACAAGACAGACCUGUGUUUUGAAUCCCACCUCUUUCUAGGCUCAGAGAGAUGCCUCCCUCCACUUGGGAGUCACAGCCCAGUCUGCUCCCUUUCUGGGAAUGAGGCACCUAUAUGCAUGUUUUCAAAACACAGGAGGAGGAGAUGGUGCCCUUCCUCUCCAUUCAAUAGUCCAGUGGUUACAGCAUUCAGCCAAGACUGGUAGAUUUAGUUGCAAUUCCUUCUUCUGCUUGAGUGAAUUUAACCUCGCAUCUCUACUUCCCAGGAGAGUCUUCGUUCCCUGCUCUCCUCCCCCCUUUCCCCAGCUACUAGACGUUAAUGUGUUUUCAGAUGGAUGCGUACUCUCAUUUCUGCUUCUUCAAAGCUGUUCCACUUUACCUAUUCAUUAAGCUGGAGAGUGACAGCCUCCUUAACAUUCACGAGAGAAAGAGAGAGAAAGAGAGAAGAGAGGCACAUCUUCCAGCCUCUGCUCCACUGAAUGUCACUGGUUAUUAUAUCAGGUCAAUUGUCAGCAGUGCAGGGGCUGGAACCCAGGUCUCCCCCUUGCUGUUCCAAUAGGGUCUUACCCUGCUAAGCUCGAACCCAAUGCCUUGCCAGGCAAGGAAGGUCUGCUUGUACACUCACAGCUAAAUUUAUUAAGUAUGUGACCUUUUUUUUGGCUUCUUACAUAAAGUUUAGCUCCUCAGGCUCAGGCGGGAUCCACUCCAGCCACUUACACUUCGUUGCAAUCCCAAGCCGAUUGUGAUGGCACAGUAUGAACUUCAAGUAUAUGAAACUUUAGUCACAGACAAGUCACAUUUGGUGAACAUGUGCUACUGUGGGAGGUGAAUCCCAAAUGGAUUUGGGCAGAUUUUUCUUGUCCAGAUACUCAGCUCUGUCAAAAUGGCAGUACUCUGGGCCUGCAUAGUAGCUGAACGUUGGGUGCCUACCUCAUAUUUUGCUAGAAAACUUAGUUACCUAGGAGGUGUUCAGUGUUUCAGCUACCUCAGUACCACGUAGUUGGGUGAGGCAUCUCAUCCCACAAAGAGAGGUGCUAGUGUUUGCCUACAAUGUGACUAUAUUUGCAAAGCAGCUUUUUAGCAGACUCUUUUUCCCCACCAGAUUACUUUGUACAUGCAGCUCUAACCUGUGCUUUGUCACAGUUAUGGAUUUCCCCACAUUACUGCUUGCAGGGCUUUGGAAUAGAGACUGGAUAGGGAAGUGGUGUGAAACAGGAUUCUUAACCUUAGCUGAAGCAAAGAUCCCAUGCACAUGACCCAGGUCUUUACAGAAAUAUUCUCAUCUACCUAAGAGAUCUGCAAGCCUUAAGUGAACUGUCUUCACUGUUUUCUCCGUAUGAGAUUUCUGACAAAACAUUCACCUGCAACUCAGCUGGAAAUACUGCUGUUUCUAGUUAAGUACAACAUCCAGCCUUGAAGGCUCCUCAACCCAAACCACAUGACUAUCUCCCAUUGCAGUCAAUAUAAAGUGCCCAAAUACCACUGAGAACCUGGGCCAGUAUGGCUGGCAGGCAGGCAUGCAGGCAGAAAGGCUCUUUAUAGCAGGAUGGAGUUUCAAAGGCAGAAAUGACACUGAUACACAAUGAGGGUAAAGCACCUAACUGCUAUUUGGGUCUGAAAAUCUCACUUGUUGGCCUGUUCCAGCCAUUGCUGCUUGCUCCACUCUGCAUCUAAACAGCAGACAGCAGGAGCAGCACGCAAAGAGAGGAAACUUUUUCAGUGGAGGAAUCACUGGAGAUUCAGCAAUCAACAGAUGAAUCAUUCAGAACUGCAGAGCCAUUGCUGAUAGGUGCAGUGGGCUCUAGCAUUUGCUCCCUUUCCUUUCCUGUAAUUGAUACUCAGGCCCAGAAAGACUCUCCCACAAACAUACUUUACACAUUCUGAGAAAAUGAAAAGUAUCCCCAGUGGUUUUGGAUACCUGAAUUGUGGCAUCUUUCCCAGGUUUUGUUGGAAUUGCUGGGGUGCUUUAUGUUCCACAAGUUAGAGUCAAUAGAAGUACUUCAAAUGAGGCCACGGUAUCAAGGCUUUAUUAGUGACACUUUUGCAAUCUCCACUGUGAUACUUUUUGGCAUGAAACAGAUUGUCUGGGAAUCAUGGCUAAACCUAGCUUUUGGGACACAAGCUGACUUAGAAGCCAAUAACAGGAGAGAAAAUUGAGGUGCAUAACUUGAGUCACAGGAUGAGGAGCAUAGCAAGAAGGAUGAGAAAUUAUUUAACAUGACAGCCAUGAAACAAAGGGUCCAAGUAUGUAGCUCAAGGGAGAAACAAGUCCAUCCUAUAAAAACCUGACAAGGCUUGCUUGCAUUUGAUUCUGGUAAUGUUUUAUUAUCAGUUCCUGGGACACCAACUUUUUUAUAGUACAGAAAUGAAAGACAAAUAGUCCCACUGUUUCUUUUUGUAACUUACAUAUUUAAUAAAGCUACUGUCUAUUCCAUCAUGUUGCACCAAAGAUGCCUUCCCUUGCCCCAGGCAGGACUUUACUAUCUUUUACAGGUGUCUCCUACCUAGACUGUGACUAAAGACUGUUUUCAUGCUAUAAAUUCUAACUGACAGAUAACAUUUACUCACACAUCUUUGCAAGUUGUAGAUAAGCCAGUAAAUCAUUAUUUCCUUUAAAUAAUUAGAAUUACCUGGCCUUAAAAGCAAUUCUGGUAUUGAAUAAGGGACAACUGAUAUACCAAUUGUUGGAAUUUUGGAAAGAUACUUGAGGACACAAAAAAGGAGACCACAAGCAAAAUAAUAGUUUUAAAGGGGGGAAAAAAUGUACUUGUGAAGCAACAUGGUUCAAACCCUCAUCAUAUAUCAACUGAUAAGGCUCCCUCUCUAGCAAGGCAACUGCUUGCCCUGAGCAGUGUCCCUGUGGGGCAGUACUGGUUUCCAUAGUACAGAUGAUGGUGGGAUGCCCAAAGGUGGUACCUGUGGCUGCUGCUCCCUCACCCCCGCACCUCAGUUAUAUUACUGAGCUGCAUUGCGGUGAAAGAUCCAUCUUCAUUGGCACAAGUAUCUCAUUGUAUGUCUCUGAAAGAGCAGGAACAUAAGUUGUUGAGAAGGACUGCAGGCGUUUUUAGCUGAAGUGUAAUAUAAUGGAUAACACUAUGUUUACUAAAGGUCGAGAGCAAAGCAUUUGGGAGGAAAAGUUGAAAAGUUAUAUCACACUGUGAUGCACUGACACAGUAAAGGUACAGCUGAGCAGAAAAAAUGAAGGUACCAGUCUGAUGAAAUUAAUGUUCUGUGAAGACUCUCUCAUUUAAAAUCAAACUCACUUAUGACCUUUUGUCUGAACAGCAAAUAAAAAAAAUCUAUCAUGCAAUAGCAGUCAAAUGGAAGACAACAAUAUGAUUUUUAAAUGAACAACGGUUUUAUUCAUGAAAAAUUCAUAAAAAUGUGUAAAAUAUUCUCAAAUAUAUUUGAUUUGUUGACUGUAAUUAAAAAUAUAAAAAUAUACUAAACAAAUACAUAAAUUAAAUUGACAAUAGUA
Molecule: long non-coding RNA, 8475 nt
Organism: Alligator mississippiensis (American alligator)
Lineage: Eukaryota; Metazoa; Chordata; Crocodylia; Alligatoridae
Exons: 3
Source: RefSeq, a predicted model, not a curated record